Molecule: ribosomal RNA, 325 nt
Filed under: uncultured Sandonidae
Lineage: Eukaryota; Cercozoa; Glissomonadida; Viridiraptoridae
Description: SSU rRNA
Rfam family: Eukaryotic small subunit ribosomal RNA (bases 115-325)
Source: RNAcentral
GAUUUCUGGCGUCGUCCCCAGCUGCCGGCCACGGUUUCGUGUGUCAGUGCGGCUGCGGCACGCCAUCCAUCCGCAUUCUCCCGGCGCUGCUCUUCAUUGCGUGGCGUCGUGGGGCGGAUCUUUUACUUUGAAAAAAUUAGAGUGUUUCAAGCAGGCUUAAUGCUAUGAAUACAUUAGCAUGGAAUAAUAAUUUAGGACUUCGGUUCUAUUUUGUUGGUUUCGCGAACUGAAGUAAUGAUUGAUAGGGAUAGUUGGGGGUGCUAGUAUUCAGCGGCCAGAGGUGAAAUUCUCGGAUUCGCUGAAGACUAACUUAUGCGAAAGCAUU